This 844-nucleotide ribosomal RNA is filed under the name uncultured bacterium. RNAcentral's name for it is "bacterial SSU rRNA". It matches the Rfam family "Bacterial small subunit ribosomal RNA", at positions 57 to 874 of the family's 1533-position model. The record is from RNAcentral.
CCCAAUUGAUUGAUGGUGCUUGCACCUGAUUGAUUUUGGUUGCCAACGAGUGGCGGACGGGUGAGUAACACGUAGGUAACCUGCCCAGAAGCGGGGGACAACAUUUGGAAACAGAUGCUAAUACCGCAUAACAGCGUUGUUCGCAUGAACAACGCUUAAAAGAUGGCUUCUCGCUAUCACUUCUGGAUGGACCUGCGGUGCAUUAGCUUGUUGGUGGGGUAACGGCCUACCAAGGCGAUGAUGCAUAGCCGAGUUGAGAGACUGAUCGGCCACAAUGGGACUGAGACACGGCCCAUACUCCUACGGGAGGCAGCAGUAGGGAAUCUUCCACAAUGGGCGCAAGCCUGAUGGAGCAACACCGCGUGAGUGAAGAAGGGUCUCGGCUCGUAAAGCUCUGUUGUUAAAGAAGAACACGUAUGAGAGUAACUGUUCAUACGUUGACGGUAUUUAACCAGAAAGUCACGGCUAACUACGUGCCAGCAGCCGCGGUAAUACGUAGGUGGCAAGCGUUAUCCGGAUUUAUUGGGCGUAAAGAGAGUGCAGGCGGUUUUCUAAGUCUGAUGUGAAAGCCUUCGGCUUAACCGGAGAAGUGCAUCGGAAACUGGAUAACUUGAGUGCAGAAGAGGGUAGUGGAACUCCAUGUGUAGCGGUGGAAUGCGUAGAUAUAUGGAAGAACACCAGUGGCGAAGGCGGCUACCUGGUCUGCAACUGACGCUGAGACUCGAAAGCAUGGGUAGCGAACAGGAUUAGAUACCCUGGUAGUCCAUGCCGUAAACGAUGAGUGCUAGGUGUUGGAGGGUUUCCGCCCUUCAGUGCCGGAGCUAACGCAUUAAGCACUCCGCCU